RNAcentral lists this ribosomal RNA (405 nucleotides) under uncultured Sphingobacterium sp. RNAcentral's name for it is "bacterial SSU rRNA". It matches the Rfam family "Bacterial small subunit ribosomal RNA", at positions 9 to 402 of the family's 1533-position model. Lineage: Bacteria; Pseudomonadati; Bacteroidota; Sphingobacteriia; Sphingobacteriales; Sphingobacteriaceae. The record is from RNAcentral.
GAGUUUGAUCGUGGCUCAGGAUGAACGCUAGCGGCAGGCUUAAUACAUGCAAGUCGUGGGGCAGCAUGACUGUAGCAAUACAGUUGAUGGCGACCGGCAAACGGGUGCGGAACACGUACACAACCUUCCUUUAAGUGGGGGAUAGCCCAGGGGAAACUUGGAUUAAUACCCCCGUAAUAUAUAGAAGCGGCAUCGCUUUUAUAUUAUAGCAGCAAUGCGCUUGAAGAUGGGUGUGCGGCUGAUUAGAUAGUUGGCGGGGUAACGGCCCACCAAGUCGACGAUCAGUAACUGGUGUGAGAGCACGACCCAGUCACACGGGGCACUGAGACACGGGGCCCGACUCCUACGGGAGGCAGCAGUAAGGAUAUUGGUCAAUGGACGCAAGUCUGACCAGCCAUGCCGCGU